RNAcentral lists this long non-coding RNA (754 nucleotides) under Struthio camelus australis. RNAcentral's name for it is "lncRNA (ENSSCUG00000006672.1)". Lineage: Eukaryota; Metazoa; Chordata; Aves; Struthioniformes; Struthionidae. The record is from RNAcentral.
CUGAUGACAGUAAAAAGCCAGUCUCACACAUCUAACGUUUGGAGUGUGGGCUAAUAGGGAAGAACUGUUCCCACUUAGAACAGUUCAAAUGGACAUAGAAAAUUUCUUCUCAUUUGGACAGCAUGUCUAUCUGUAUUUAUUUCAACAGGAGCUGGCACACUGUCCUUCCAGAUUUAGGAAGAAAAAAAAUUCUGUUUAGGAUAUUAGAUCUAUCAUCAUUCUCUUUGCUGCAGGUUUCUCCAUCCAGCCCCCCUGGUUCAACCCUGCCCCAUGGUCUCUUCUCCCAGUGCAGUGGCCAUCUCGGAGCAGAGGUGGUGACCCACUCCUCACAGCAGGAAAAGAGACUAACCAAGAUUCAUUCCGAAGAAAAAGAAGGGGAAGAAAUAGGAGGGAGGACAAACACCAUUUACUCAAAGCACUGGUUAACUCUUAGCUUCCUACAACGGCAGCGGACACCCCGACAGGUAAGAAUAAAGCAUAAGUUUAGCAUACAGAUCACUAACCACAUGAGAUAAAAGCACUGAUUUUUGCUUCCCCCCACCUUUUUUUUUUUUUGUGCACGAGUAGACUAGUUGCUAUGCAAGAGAAUCAAAACUACAUUUCUUCAGAAGUCUAACAUGUUUAAGUAUCAAUUAGAUAAGAGCUGUUUUUCACUGAACAGCCUUUUAGAAAGUAGUUUUAAGUAACUGUACGCAAAAAUAAGAUCAGAGUAAAAGCAUACUAGCUUACUAGAACAACACCUUUUUCUGCUGUG